This 16129-nucleotide long non-coding RNA is filed under the name Coffea arabica (coffee). RNAcentral's name for it is "long non-coding RNA (CARA_LNC001608)". The record is from RNAcentral. Lineage: Eukaryota; Viridiplantae; Streptophyta; Magnoliopsida; Gentianales; Rubiaceae.
UCCCAAGUAUUUCAGUCAGAAGCUUCUUAAACUCAUCUUCUUUAACCAACUUCCUGUCAUCCGCAUCUAACUUCUUGAAAGCUUCAUUUAUGAUUUUGUCGAUCUGCAGAGAUUAGCUAAAGCGUUUGGUAAGAUGAGCUUAAGACCGGAGAACCUCUAAUCAGCCUGAAAAGUACCCAGUUCGAGGUGAAACUGCACCAGGCUUGAGGACUGUUCCUUUUACACAUUAAGCCAAAUGCAGAUUCUAUAAAUAGGUCAGAAAGCUAAUCGAUUAACUUGUACAUAGCUAUUUCUUCAAUUAUCCCUUACUAUGAUUUCCCAAUUGGAACGGCAAGUCUCAUCUCAUAAUAAGUAGUAAAAAUGAGCUAACCUCGAAAGACUGAUUACCUGAUCAACAGCACCCAGUGGGCCUAAGCCAGAUGAUGGGACCAGAACAUCCAGAGCAACACGCAGAUUUGUUUUGACAAUUUUCCACUGCGAUCUCUUGGAAUCAAGGCUUGCCAUAUCGGCUGCAACAACUUGGCCGAGUCAUGACCGGAACGGGGCUAACAAUAUGAUACCGUUACCCGCAUCGCCUCUGAAACUAAGUCGGAUACAUAUCGCGGAGAACUCUGCGAUAUGCAAUAAUAUGAUACAGAAUCGUCGAAUAGUGGCGAGAACUUGGCGAUAUCUACUGUUAUGAAUCGGAAACAAGAGAAAGGAAAAUUUCAAGACACAAACCUAUAGCUAAAUACUAAAGCUUUCCCACCCCUGUGACAUGAAACAAAACAAAAUGAAAUGUCACGCAAAAGGACGUUCAUAGAGCUUCUGGAAAGUUUUUAUUCCUGCAACUUCAGCCGAUGAAUGCAUCACAUUUCACGUACAUAUCAAUCAAGGAAGUCCCGAAAUGUAUAUGAAAAUCUAAACCAGUUCCGGUGCUCAUCCGAUGAACGCACUUUCCCAGCCAAAACAUGAUAACUCUGCAUGCACAAGACUAAUAAAAGAAAACAAACAGUAUCCAAAGCAAAUUUGAUAGGUAUGUAAAAAGAAUAAAAAUAUGUUCUUACUAUAUUUGAUAGAAUUCAAAAGUUAUACAUAAUUCAUGAAUUUUAAUAUUUUCGUGACAUUUAUUAUUGUUGUUUUUUUAUUUUAGAAAAUUGAGAUCAAUCACCUAGGCAUUUCUGUUGAUCAAUGUAGGUGAAAAUGCUUAUUGAGAAUAUGGUGAAAAUGCUUGCUUCUUUAUGUCUUUAUAUUUUAUAACCUUAUUUGAUAGGUAUUUGUUUCUUUUGCUCUAUUGAAGUAAACACUGCUACUUUCUUUAUGUAUUGGGAUUCUCAUUGUGUUAUUUAAGAUAUGAUGGUUUUACUCUUAUAUUUAAUUUUUGAUGUCAUACAAAAUAGGAUUAGAAGACACACUUGAUGCUAAAAUCUUUUACUACUAAUGCUAUAGGUUUAUGGUAAUGGCAGCAUUACUUUAUUUAAAUAAUUAGUAACUAUAUAUGAUAAUGUAGAUAUUUAGUAAACUUAAUUUGAUAAUUGUGUUUGUUAUCCUAUUUUUUAUUUUUAGUAAUUUUUUUUAGAAUUUUUAAUGCUGCGACGAAUGUGAAACAAUCACGACCGCGAGGUGAUCAUGAUGGGCGACAGGGAACCAUGCUUGGAAUAGUUUGUAAGGAAGUAUCCAGAGCCUGUUGAGGAACAAAUUGGUGCACCUCAAUGUCCAAGCACAAUGUAUGAAAUCAUUUCAACACAUUCAAAAGACUUGCCAUAUAAUUUAUUUCUUCUUAGAUAAGUUGGACAAACUUGAGACGAAGAUGAUAAAGAUACCAAUAUUUGCACGGGCCCAUAGCUAAAUUAGAAUCCACUAGAAAAGAGUUAUCACUAAUAACGUGCACAGAAGACAGAAUAAGUUGGAUGCCACUGUUCUUAAUUUACCACCAGCAGAAAUUAUUGGUGUGUUUGGACAGGAAAUUAUUUGCCCAAAUAUAUUUAUUUACAUUAUUAUUACAAUUUUCAUUACACCUUUUUAUCUCACAUACAUCACAUCACAAAAAGUGCUGCAGUAAAAAUAUCUCAAUAUUAGUAUUAAUGUUACUUUACCAACCGUAUCCAGCUCAAAUUUGUUGGAUAGCAAUCUUCUUAUUCCGCUCCCAUCAAAUGUAUUCUCAGUAUGUGCAACAAUUACGGGCUGCUCUUUCAGAAGUUUUGCAACAGUCCCUGCGACAUUCUUGAACUCACCAAGAAUGUAGUCAAAUGAGACAGAAAACACCUAGAUGAGCCGCUAUAUCACCGAGGUACCGGAUUUUCUAUAAAUGCUGUCUAGAUAAGUCCAUCACUUGAUCUCAUGCUUUACGAAACUCUAAUUUUUCUACUGGGUACUCGACGGGCACUCGUUAGAAAGAUCCAUCGUUUAAAAUGAAAAAUAGCCCCUCUGUGACGAGUACCCGUUACAAACAGGCAAAGUAAAUUCCAUACUAUCAACGUAGAUUCCCUCUGUGACGAGACUUUCCACGAAGCAGCAGAAGACUAAAGUAUGGAGGAUGUCACCAGCAGAAGACUUUACAUAAUUCUAGUAUUAGAGUACGCUAUAUUCUUGGUGCUGUUACUUGUACCAGGUGAGAAGAAUUAGUCACUAGUUGAAACUGUCUCUUCUUUAAAUAUCGUUUGAAUUUUUAAGCUGUACACAGGAAGUAUGUAUGACAAGACUUUUUCACUCAAGCGUAUCUUGAAUCUUGGUUUUUUGUUUCACGGCUUCUGAAAUAUCCUAUAAUGAAAAGGAAUCCCCCUAAGAAUAUUUCUCGGAAUCAAAAGAUUAGAAGAAAAAAAUUGUAGAACGCUGGCAAACGAAUUUAGAAUCAGACAAGUUCGUUCUUUUCUGUCAAGAUUGGUAAUUACGUAGUUGCAUGAAUAAGCCAAAACCAUAUGCUGCCUCUAGCCAUUUCGCCUGUUCCCGAACUGGGAUCAAUCAGUUUUUGAGGUCGCUAAUUAAUCCUGAUUUUUACUUAGAAGUCAAAAAAAAUUACACGAGUUAAAUAAUGAAGUUUACGUGAAGGGUGAAAUGCAUCGAAAAAGAUUAGCAUUUUAAUAAUCGAAGGUAAGGUUGCAAAUGUAAGCCAGUCUUUUGAAAUUAAUCAAUUAUGACUCACUUACAGUCUCUCGUGAAUCAUGAUGAGUAAGAAAAAUCGUCGAAGAACCACAAUUUGAUUUCUAUAUCAUUGAGUUCAUAGCCAGGAAAUUCGUAAUUCAUCAAUUGCGCAGUUAUAUUCCCUCCUCCAGGAGAAUACGAAAAGAAAAAGAAGAAAAAUAUUUGUUCCCCUGCUAAUUUUUUAUACAACGGGGUAUCUUUCAGGCUUAAAAAAAAGGGUUAAUUACAUUCACCUCCCCUGAGGUUUGACCAUAUUACCAAUCAAUCCCUGUAAUCUGUCCAAAUAACAGUCUCACCCUUUGAAUGAUCAAACAUUUAACAAAAACCCCCUUAAUGCCGAAAAUGCCCUUUUUGAAGCCAUAUUGCAUUAAAAAAAGAACAUAUUUUUAUUUAUUAACCUUCAAGUAAUCCAAAAAAAUAGAAAAAAAUUUUUGCUUAUUAUUUUAUAAAAAUCAUAUCUUUACUUCCAUAAAUAGUUUUGAAUCAAUAAUUAUUUUAAAUCUUAAAAAUUAGAUAAAUUGAAAGAAAAAUAAAAAAGAAACAAUUAUUUUAAAUUCUCAAGUAUGGUUCGAAUUUGUGAUUCAAGGCAUGUUGCGGAGAGCACAAGACAUGUUUUCCUCAAUUUGAACCAUAUUUCAGGAAUUAAAAUAAUUUCUUCUUUUUUUAUUGUUCUUUCAAUUUAUCUAAUUUUUAAUAUUUAUUUUUAAGAUUUAAAAUAAUUAUUGAUUCAAAACUAUUUAUGGAAGCAAAGAUAUGGUUUUUAUAAAAUAAUAAGCAAAAACUUUUUCUAUUUUUUUGGAUUGCUUCAAGGUUAAUAAAAUAAAAAUAUGUUCUUGUUUUAAUGCAACAUGGUCUCAAUAAGGGCAUUUUCGGCAUUAAGGGAAUUUUUGUUAAAUGUUUGAUCAUUCAAAGGGUGAGACCGUUAUUUGGACAAAUUAUAGGGAUUGAUUGGUAAUAUGGUCAAACCUCAGGGGAAGUAAAUGUAAUUAACCCUUAAUUUUGUCAUGUUAGAGACAGCACUUGAUGUAAUUAAUAAUCUGCAACUCCAUUGACAUGAAAAUACAACGAAACUGAAAUUGAGGAAAAUCCCAAGACGUUGGUUAGGUACUUAGUUUUAAUUUUCUUACACUUUCCCCAUCUCAUUCGGGAUAAUUAAAGCCUGAAACACAUAUUUUGACUCACUCUUUCUUCGUAUUAUUAAAAUUUCAUAUUCACUUCUUCUUCCUCCUCGUCCUCUGCCUCUUCCUCUUCUUCUUCUUCUUUCUCUUCUCCUUCUCCUCUCUAUCUCUCUCUUUUUCUACUCCCUUCCCAAAACAGCAGCAUGUGUUAUAUAACUUGAACCAAAUAUACACUCAGUUGACAACUGCCACAAUUUCAUUCUGUACCUUCGAUUCAAGUCACAAAAGGAGAGUAUUCUUGACCUAAUGGCGUUAUGCAUGUUAGUGAUAAAUCUUGCCAAGUUACCCUAACAUCAUCCCCCUCUCUUCUAAUAAAAAGGUGAGGUCCUUGUAUCCUCAUGCGAAAUGUCCAAUAGUUAACAUUUCUUGACCGUGUAAUUAAACGUACUCUUCAUAUGCGUGGUUAAAUCGAACUGAUUUAUACUGGCGAAGUAAAAGUAGUGACAUCCUGCAUUAGCAAUAUUUACAAUAAAACUGUCACUAAUGUUUGAGACCUCAAUCGUCACGCACCUCUCCCCUAGGAAAAACUAGCAAGCACAAAGUACCAAAGAAGAAUAGAAGAUAGAAGAAAAGGCAAAAACUAUUAGCAUUCUACCAUUGCAUAUCAUCACAAGCUAUUUAAUUCUGACGAUCUGGGUCCACUUUUUCAGAUUAAUCAUCCCCAUUCAUACUUAUUUGCAGUUGGGAAGGAGACGGAUCUACAACAACAUAUUAAUUACAUAUCCUCUACUCAUCGCUACAGUUGUGGUCUGUCGAGUUGACACUUUUUUCACUUUUAUUAAGGAGUAGCUUUUAACUCAUUACUUAUUCUUUUUCAAUUGAGUUCUUAUUAACGAUAAAACUGAGUGAUAUUGGAGAUAAACACUAGCAUACCAAUACAUUUUUCUUUGAAAAAAGAAUGAAUCAAGUUAGUAAAUGCAACCAAGCUUGAGUACUAUUUCGCAGUGAUUGGCAAAAGAUUAACACUCAACUUCAAAUCUGUCCUAAUACUAUCUUUUUAAUUCUAGAUUUGGUCUCACGCUCCUUCUUUUCAGGUAUAUACACUCAUCCCUUGCCUCAGCCACCAAAAAGUAGGACCGAAUUUAUUGGAGGAGAAGGGCCACUGAAUCUGUGAUUUUAAACUCAGACCGGACUGGCCAGUCGAACUGGGAACCUGCCAAGUGUCCAGUUCAAGUUACUCUAAAAAAUUGGGUGUAUAAAAACUCGGUCAAACCUGGCAAAAAAUCAGGUUUGACCAGAAAAUUGGAUGAACCGAUUUGAUGUCAAGCUUUUUUUUUUUAAAAGCUCAAAGCAUUUCAAUAUUAUGUUUUGCCUCCUAGGUUGUUAAAAAUUAUUAGUAUAUCUCAAAUAUUUCAUACUUUAUAAAUGUUGUCCUAAAGUUUGGUGUUAUUUUUCAAUCAAAUCCAUAAUUUUAAUUCUAAACUUGUUAAUGUUCAUUUAAUAAUAUAAAUUGCUACUUGAUCAUUCUAAUUUCUUUGUAUUUUCUUAUUAUAUAUAUUUGAAACAUUAAAUGUAUAUGAAUAUACAUUUAUUAAUAUUAAAAUGCUCUUAAGUAUUUUACAUAUAAUAUUUUAAUUUUUAAAUAAUUUUUAUUUAUAACGUCAUCCAAUUCAACUACGAUCGACUCCAUUAACCCUUGACUCCUGACCCUUAAGUUUGACCGAGUCGAUGCCCGAUUCGAGUCUGAAAACAUAGCACUGAAUAAGUGCUUUCAGUGCCAUGGUUAUAAAUCCCGGCCCGGCUCAGCCACAGAUGGGGUUGGACUGCUAAUUAAAUCAAUUGUGUGACAACCCCACCUUCCCCUAAGGCGAACCAAAGGGGUUAGCGGACUGCCUGCCCAACUCUCGCCAGGAUUAACGGUUCAGUUUAAAGCGGUCUAACGUUCCGGAGCUUACAACCGCGCGUAAACAAGUCAAAAUGUCAAAUAAAAAAAAAAUGAAAUCGGAAACGGCCAUGAAUAGUAACCGACACGUCUGAACCCAACCAAACGUUGAGCAAAUAUUCACAUCUCGAAAUUAAUCAUAUACAACCCAAAGGGGCAUACAAAAGUUAGUCAAAAGUGAAUACAUGUACGGUUUGCCAAAUCAAAAGAGAAACGGACUCAAAAAUACAUUUAGGGUUUCAAUCCAUGAGCUAUACAAAAGAUAUGUCCAUCUAACUCAAUUCGGCAACCAACUAUCAAAUCCAAUCCAAAAAGGAUUUAUUUUCCUGUAAGGAAAACAAAAGGAACAGAAAGGGGUGAGUUUGCGCUCAAUGAGGUACCAGACAAAUAACAGUAAAAUCAUGGCAUUUUACAUUUAACAAAUCAGGUACACAUGCCAGAUGUAAGUAAAAGAACCAAUGAUUCAAAUAGGAAGGAUACAGAUGGCUCUCAUGAGCCAAAUUCCUAUUCGCGUCACCGAAGCUUGAUCAAAAUAAUAGUUGACACUCCGUUAACGCUAAAGGAGUAACCAAUACCGUAGACCCCACUUUCUCCAAUUCCUUCCACCUCACAUACCCCUACCGGCCCCGCAAACCAAUCAGAUCAGAAAUGGUAAUACUCAAGUAUACCCGGAAUCAAAGGUUUCACUACCCAAAGAUCUCAAAACAGACUACCGUGGUUCGUUAUCUAAUCGACUAGACCCUUGCCGGUCCGACUCGAGUAACUUGCCACAGGGGUUGAGCUCAGAGGUCACAGAAAGGUCGUUGGAUACAAGUUUCCAAACGACGUCCGAACAAAUACAGAUACAGAUACAGAUAUCAGAUACAGAUUCAGAUAUCAGAUACAGAUUCAGAUUCAGAUUCGCCCCAAAAUUGGCAUAUAAACAGACAAGAGAACGAGUGUGAUAAAGUACACUCUCGUCUCAAACAAAUUAAACAGAUGGUGCAGUCAUUUAAAUCACAGAUUGCAGGGCAGAAAUCAAGUUAAACAGCAAUGGAGGGGAGUGGUACACUCACCGGUGUCAGUACAGAUACCUCAAAAGUUUGGGCUUUAGUCACCAAGAAACCCUAAAAUAACCAAGGUAAAACAAUUAUGGUUCCCACUUUCACAAAUCCAGUACACGAAAUGCAUAACUAAGACUUAAUUAUAAGUCGUGUGUCGAUCACUUUAACUACCAGUGCAAAGAAAUAACAAUGAAAUUGGAGAAAAAGGUAGCGGUUGGUAUCAAAAACAUGAACAACCCUCAAACCCUUCGCUCAAAUCACAAGUAAAUCCAACUAGCCUUCAAGUAAAAAUUUUGGCAGCAAGUCCCUUGUGUUUACCUAUUUUCCAACCAUUAAUGGUUUCAUUAUUUCCUCAAAUCAGUUUCAAUAUCUCAUACAAAAAAUAAUCUCAUUUCCAAAAGCCGUUCACUAAGUUUAAAGUCAUUCAAGUACAAAAUUUAGCUAGGAAAAUAACUGGAAACGAAAGUCAAGCCCUAAAACUAUUCAAAUAACCACAAUAAGACUCGCUUACAAGUCAUAAACCAAUUCCAGAUACCACCAAAAUAGGGCUCCAUAAGCAUACAUAAGCAUUAGAGGAAACCAGAAAAAUCCGGAAAUGUAGUUAAGCGUUAACCCGAAAAAAAUAGUUUUUGACGUCAUUAUGCGGUUUUGGUACCAAUGGCACUACGAUUAUCGGAUGAAGGUGCGAGACCCACCGUUUCGAAACUAAGAGAUAGGGUUACAAUAUUGCAGAAGGUCACUCAGCUCAAUUUUGAGUGUAACCAGGUCAAAAAUACAAGAUACUACACCAGAACUGGAAAAACAGAUUCAUAAAACGCAUUCUGGUUCAAACAUCAUAAGUCAGCCUACCUAAGUCCAAAUCCAGUAAUUCCAAAGCCAUCCGAAAGCUAAGAAAUAGGGCUACAAUACAUCAGAAGACCGUAACAACCAAUUCCAAAGCAUUCUCAACCAAAAUAACCCAUUACAGAAGCAAUUCCCAAAUUCGGGUAAAACCAGGACAACAAGGGUAAUUUCGACUUUUCUCAAGCCACGCUACUCCGAUUGACCUAAAAUUUUGUAGGGACCCCUAAAAUGUCAUUUCCUACAACUUUCAUGUUUUAACCCAAAACCAAUUCGGCCUCUAACCAUGAGCUACAAAAUCGGGCAGAAUGUAUAACUUUGAAACCCUGUUUUUUCAAUUUUCUUCCAAAACAGAAAUUGCUUGCAAUUAACCACUUUUCCCACCUCCUAGUUUCAUUGCAUACCAAUUCCAAUCAUCAUACAUGCCCACAUAAUCAUAUUCAUAUGAAAACAGAAAAAUCCCCAAUAAUUACAAAAUUUCACCAAUUCAACCAAAAAUCAAGAUAUAAUCCAUAAAAGUGCAUCUUAUACUACCACCAAUCAUGAAUUAAGCAUUAUUAGAGGGAGGAAAGGGGUCCUUAACUACUCACAUUGGCAACACAAGAGAGAGAGCAACUAAUCCCUUUAGCCUUCCAAACAACUCCACAAAACACCUCACUAUCACUCCCUUAAGUGUUUCUAUGAAGCAAAAGCAAGAUUAAAUGGUUGAGUUCUUGGAUUUGAGCAAGAGUAGAGCUAAGAAUUUGGAGAGGUUUUCUUUCUUUCUUCCUUGGAGAGAGCCGACUUCAAGAGCUUGAAAUAAGGGUGAAUUUUGGUAAUUUUUGUUUUAUUGGUUUAGUUGGUCAAAUGGUAAAAGAAUGAAUAGUGGUCUUACAGCAAGAUUGAAUCAUAUGGUGACACUUGUCACCCUAAUUAAUGCAUCUCUAUCUCUUUGUUUCCUCUCUCACCAAUCCACUUGGGUAACCUCUAAUUAUCUCUUAGUACCUGAUAAUUUAAUUCCAGUAUCCAAAACUUAACCUAGUUGGCCGAAUUUUUCCGAACUUUUCGUCCUAGUGAGUCCCACAUCCGGUAUACACUCUUAAUUUCUCAAAAACUAUUCGAUACUAGAAAAAUCACUUAAAAACUCUAUUUACUCAUAAAAAUUAUCUAGAAAUUUUUCCUAAGCAAGAAAAUGCAGAAAACAUGCCAUUAAAGAUAAUAAAACCUAAAAAUUUGAAAAGUUACGGGUUCUCACAAGUUGAGUAACAAAUUCGUUGACCAAUCAAUGAUCCAAUAGUUCAAUUAAGAACUAAAAAAAAUCGCCGGUUAAACCACUAACUUAAACAUUUUACUAUUUUUAUAAUUUAAAAUAUAUUAUUAUAUUAUAUAAUAUAAUUAUUGUGCAACUGACGAUUGAACCAAUGAUUUGAUCACUCUUCAAAUUGAGAUUGGGAUUGGGUUUAAUGACUAUGUUCAGAUCUAUAUAUUUAUAUGGGAGACAUAUGAGUUUUCUCAUUCCGAUUCCUUUCAGCUUUCAAGAGUAGCGUUCUAGCUAAGCCAAAAGUAUGUGAACUAGCACUAGACAUUACUUUUCCGAAAGGUUUGGUAUGCUGAACUUGAACAUGCACCCUGACGAAUUACAACUAUAACAACAGUUAGCUCAUGAAAGUAUCAGCAAAGCAGAUUGAACCCAAUGGCGGUCAAGAUGAUCAAUCGUCAGUUGGUGCAAGAGCAAACAAACGGUAAAGGCGUGCCCCCUUAUUCUUAUGUGUGUUGAAAGUUGGAAUCAUUGCCCACUUGUGGCCAAAUUACUUCAUGUGUCAAAUAUUUGCAAUUAAGGAAUCAUAGACAACAGAAAGUUGGAAUACAUAUUAUUGUUGACUAUAGAAAUUCCAUACCUAUUGCUGGACCACUCAAUGGGUAUCUUGAUCCGAUUAUGCAAGACUUUUCUUGGAAUUAUAACAAGCACUGAAAAUUACAACUAAUACUCCUUAGUCAAGGAGCAUGCAUGCAGCAUACCUUUUCUGAAUUUUCUAUGCUCCCCACUUAAUGGUUACUGUAUUACUGAAAAGAUAAUGACGUACAACAAAUAUAAAUAUUAAUGAAGAACAUAGAGACGUAAUUAAACUGCACUAAAAAAAACUGCACUAAUGAAUCGUGGACAAAUAAAUUCUGAGCCACUCAAGCACGAGAAAUCAAAUUGUAGGGUUUGGAUUACCUGUCAUUUGUGAAUAAUGUGUGUUCCACGAUUCUGUGCUAGUACAAUUAUUUUUAACUAACAUCAAUGUUGAGUAUUGACAGCUUUGUUUUAAGCAAGUCCUCAUGGAUAACCUCUAUGCCACUAGACAGUGGACUUGGUUGCUAUAAAUAGCGCAACAAGCUCAAUUAUAAGUUACCAACUAGCAAAUGAAACAUAUAUGCUAGUAGCAAAUUUCUGAUAGCUGAUUGAGUAGAUGGCUGCAGAUGCUGGAAAUGUAUACGUUAACAUGGAAGAAGAAAGCCAAGCUGCUGGAAAUAGAAUGCAACCUAUGUCUACUACUCCCGUGUAAGUAUCUCUUAACUUCCACUACUACUACCACUUGCACUUAAUUAAUUUGUCUGGUCUCCAUGUUUAGUCUUUAUCAGCUUUAUUCAAAAACUUCCUGGCUGGCUUCUUGCACGAAUUUGCGUCAUAUUUUUUUGCAGACCAGCACAGUGGACUGCUGAUGAAAAGAAGCAAACAGCUUUCAGUCUGAGUGAAAGGCUAGGCUUGGACGAGUUUCUCUCCUUAAAUGUUAGUGAUGCUCUUUCAACGGACUGACCCGUUUUUCAGUUCAAGACUACAAGCUCUGUUCUGGUUCUUCACGAGAAUAAGGAUUGGAAUUGUAUGCUACGGAGGAAACAUAACUCAAAUGCUAUGGCAUACAAUUCCAGUUCUCUCAUAAAGAACCAAACACAAGACAAUAUUUCUUUUGCUGGUGUGAUCGAUCAAAUUUCACGUUGGGUUGAUAUAUAACUUGGUGCAGGUCUGGAGAGCAGCUCUAGGGGAACUUCUUGGCACAGCAGUUUUGGUCUUCAUGUUUGACACCAUUGUCAUAUCAACCCUCGAGACCGAUGUGAAAAUGCCAAACCUGAUUUUGUCAAUUCUCCUGGCCAUUAUCAUCGCAAUUCUUCUACUAGCCGUGGAUCCAGUAUCUGGAGGCCACAUAAACCCCAUCGUCUCAUUCUCUGCGGGAUUGAUCGGUCUAAUCUCAAUGUCGCGUGCCAUAAUCUAUAUCAUCGCUCAAUGUGCGGGCGGGGUGCUGGGAGCACUAGCACUGAAAGCGGUGGUUAGCAGUAACAUCGAAAGAACCUUCUCACUGGCAGGUUGCACCCUUACCGUAAUUGCACCAGGUCCCGAAGGGCCAGUCACAAAAGGCCUGGAGGCCGCCCAGGCGUUUUGGCUCGAGGCCUUUUGUAGCUUCGUGUUCUUGUUCGCUUCAAUCUGGAUUUUAUUCGACCAUCGUCAGAGAAACUCCAUUGGCAUGAUUCGUGUUUUCUCAAUCAUCGGAAUCGUGCUGGGUCUUCUGGUGUUUGUAUCGACGACGGUCACUGCCACUAAGGGUUAUGCGGGGGCGGGGAUGAACCCUGCUAGGUGUUUUGGUGCAGCAGUUGUUAGAGGAGGCCACCUGUGGGAAGGGCACUGGAUAUUCUGGGCAGGGCCUGCCGUGGCUUGUCUUGCGUUCUACGUUUACACGCUAAUCAUUCCUGAUGAUCAUUUUCAUGUAGAAGGGUACAAACAUGAUUUCUUUGGCAUCCUAAGGACUAUUAGCGGACUGGAACGUUAAACAUGGGAGCAAUUUACAAGGAUAGAUUUGUUGCCUAUCUAAUAAGGGGAUGGCGAUGUAUGAUAGUGUCAUAUGUAAUAUAUAAUAUAAGUGGACUUUCUUUUUUUGAUCGGAGAAUUUCUUCUAUGGAGUAUACGCUUGCAUGGUAUCUGCUUCCUGUCGUGUCGGGUGUAAACUGAUGUUGUUUCCAGGAGAACAGGUUAUAAAUAUCAACUAUUGAGGUUUGGAUGUAAAGGGUUCCAUGCCAUGUCCCAAAUAAAAAGAUAUUUUGCCUGCCGAAAUUGUUGAUCAUCAAGUUCAAAAUUUUUAGUUGCAUAUCUAAUGUCUAAAUUUCUUCCUGUUGCUAACGAUCGCCCUUGCAUUUUUCCUUUUAACUUUUCGUCUUUUGGUUUUGGGUUGAGAAGAAAUCAGUAAGGUUCCAAGGCCCACAAGAAUAGAAUAUCACGAAUCUUCAACAUGGAAAUGAGAAUAUACCUUACAAUUGUUAAAAGCCGCCGACCCACUCGUUCAUCAGCACUUUCAAGCUGGAAAAAUCGUUCCAGACUUGCUCUUAUCAUAUUUUGUCAAAUGAAUUUUUUCUUCACUUAAAUAGUAAAUUUACGUCCCUUGCAAAAUCAAGUUGAUAAAUUUUGAUUUUUACCUUAAAUUCAUCGCAUGACCUAUAUGCAGUUUUUUUAAUGACAAAAAUAUUAGAUUCCAUUUGUAGUUAAAUAUAUGAUCUAAUCUAUAUUCACUUCUAUCUCUAAAAAGCAGGAUCUGACCUGAGUCAAAUUUAUUUUUUCUCCUAAAAAGUGGGAGAUAACCUAAUCUAUGUUCAUUUUUGCCACAUAUUUUUGUAUACUAAAAAUAACUGCACCUUUUUGUGUACUAAAAAUAAAUGCAUGUGGGUCAUGUUGUAAUUUCAGAUUAAAAAGUGAUCGAAAACUUAGAGAUUGUGGCCGAAUUUUAUUAAUUUAAAUUUUUAUAAAAUUAACAUGCAUUUUAAAGCGAUGAAUGAAAAAAAUUCAUUUAAUGAAAUGAUAGGGAUGUUUUCACAAUUUUCCCUUUAAGUGGCCUUUUUGUGGGCAAGUCAAUUUGGAAAUUUAUAAAUUCAACAAUCACAUCAUGAGUUUAUCAAUUUGGAAAAUCAGGAAUUCAACAAUUGUAAGUUUAUUUUAUUGGAAAUUGAGAAAUUCAACACGUAUGGUAUGAGUUUAUCUUCUCGAAAAUUCAGAAAUUUAACAUGUAUGGAUUUUUCACUAAAUGUGUUAAAACCCAAAUCAUUUAACUGUAACAUUAACCAAGUAACUUUGAAAGUCCUGAUUUAACGUUCAACUCUUCUUCGACUUUUCUCCCGCCCCACCACCGGCCCCCCAUUUCCCUGCUCCUUCUUCCCCAAGGUUUAGAAUCUCCAUCAGGAAACAAAAAGCUCGAAACAACAGGGACCACUAACCAAGGUUCGUCGCAGUUGACGUCUGGCUCACCAUCACCGUAACUGCACCUGGCCCACAGGGACCACUUACCAUGACUCUUGAAAAGAGCCAGGACCUCCGGCUCGGGCCGGAAACAUUUUGAGGUCCGGAAUCGUCACAAAUUCCUUGUCGGUUGUUUCGUGUUUAGGUUGCAUAUAAACGUCAUCUAAGGAAAUCCCCAAAGCCUUUUCUUUUUUUUUUUUUUUUAAUUCAAAAGGUCAUCAUUUUAUGUAUUGAGUAAUAAGUUUCAAAAAUAUUCACUUAUUGGUGGCAAAUGUCAAAGAAUCACUUUGAACUUCUUUCACAAGCCACACAGGAAAGCACGACUUUCACCUGGUAACAUCAAUAAGGUUAAUGGCAAAUUUCGUCAAACCAUGACCAGUGCGAUUGAUUGCGUUCCCUCGCAAUAAAUAAAUAUGAAGAUACAUCGCCAAAAGCACUUACUCGGGCGUAGAAUAUCAUCUACCAAGACAUCUAACCGAGAGAUUUCUUUGUAUCCCAUAUUAUUGAUUCUGUCCAGUGCUCUUCCAAUGCCUUCAUCGGUGGUGCGGUCCUUAAUGCCCCUGCUUUUAGGAUAGCAACUUCUUUUUUGCGCCUUGUUGGAAUAGCCCACGAAGUGACAAGGCUACCAUUCUCAUCUUUGACCGCAAUACCUACUCCCCUUCUGUCCCUGGUCCAAUCCAUGGCUGCAUCAGCGAAAAUGAAGGUGGCAUGUUGGUUCCGGAAUUCUUUUGACUCUUGCAUUCAUUGCUACCAGUCGCUGCUCCUUGCUUUCCUUGCAUCCCCAAAGUCAAGACAUUAAUUGGUUUCUCGAUUAUUCAGUUGUGCUAAUGGCUAUGCGCCCUUGUACUUUUAUCGGGUAUUUGGAUUAUACACUCAUCCUUAAUUACAAUAAAUCAAACGGUGAUAAUGUAUGCACUGUAUAUAAGAUUUAUUCUAAUUUUGUUAUCAAAGGGAGAGAGAGAGAGAAGAAAAAAAAAAGAUGUGAUCAUCUUAAUUAUUUUGGACAACUAAGCUUUGUUUGUCCUAACAGGGUAGAAAUAUUAAGACAAUUUUAUCACAAGCUGUUUUAAUUUUUGAGAUCGAUUUGUUGAUAUUCAAAACAUAUAUGAACAGACUAUUUCAAAGAAAAAAAGAAGGUAAAUAUUUUAUGUAUUGACAGUAUACAUAUUAGCGGGUCUAAAUGUAUGUUACAUUUUUUAAAUUUAUAUUUAAAUUUAAAUUUAGAUGAUGUGCUAUUUAUUAUUCUGUCAACGUAUUGACAGUGUAGAAAAGAUUAAUUUUAAAAAAAAAAAAAGGCAUGAAUAGAUGAUCAAUGGUCAGGAUUGUCUCACUGUUCUACCAAGUCCGACCAAGUACACGGGUACAUUUACUGGAUUUCCUGUGGUUUCAGGCGCCCAUCCAUCCAACCCACCGUCCACAGACGGAUCUUUUGGACUGUUUAAACAUCAGGAGUUUUGACAACUAGACGGGCCUGCGAAAAAUUUGUUCAUUCAUAUAAAUUGAUCAUAUUUUACACAUCCCCUUAUAAUCACAUCUCAAAAAAUUUUUUUUUUUUUUUUGAAAAUAUGGCAUGACUGAGUGAUCAAAAAAAAUAAUACCCAACCAUGGUUCCUGAAGUUGACCUAACUCACUUUGUAUAUAAACAAAUACCGAACCCUCUUAUGAUCCGAACAAAAAAUACGACCAUCCUAAUAUUCAGAACGGAGAGCCAGCGGAUGCAUUGAUUUUCUUGCCCUACCCCUGGUAAAUAGGAGUACGGUGUAAUAUUGGUUUAAUUUAAUAUUGGUACGAAUUCCAAGCACAGCGGAACAAUUAUCUCUUAACAUACACACACAGACAAAAACAAAAGAAAAAAAAAAAGGAUUAAAAUGAAAUGCUCUUCAGAUUUUCUAAACUCUUUCUUAUUGGAUAAUCAAUCAGUAUCGCAAUAUUUCUUCUCAUCACAAUCAAAUACUUUCAAUUCUGGUCACAGGGUCGGACUAGAACGUCAAAUCUGUGAGAGGAAGAUUGUCAUAUCGUAGCAGGCCUGGAAACACGGAUUUGUUUCAGCAGUGUAAAUUUGCACCUCAUCCAUAUUCUGUAUCCAGAACGAAAUCAUGUACGCAGCCAGCAUAAAAGUCAUCUGUGUUCUAGUGUAUAUGCACUCCAACAGCACCACCAAGAGAACUGGAUAUCAGUAGUAACUUUCUUGCCAGUAUUGUUUUAUAGUCGUCAAAAUUUACAAGACCUAUUAUUCCUGCUUUCUUCAUAAUUCUGCAUUACGAAGGAGGAGCAUCCAAAAGCGUGGAGGAGGAGGCAAAUGGCUCAUGCACGACAGAGUUUGUGGAAACAGAUAUUGGAUUGCCCUCCAGUUGCAGCAUGAUACUCCCAAGUAUUUCAGUCAGAAGCUUCUUAAACUCAUCUUCUUUAACCAACUUCCCCUCAUCCGCAUCUAACAUCUUGAAAGCUUCAUUUAUGAUUUUGUCGAUCUGCAGAGAUCAGAUAAAGCGUUUGGUAAGAUGAGCUUAAGACCGGAGAUCCUCUAAUCAGCCUGAGAAGUACCCAGGUUCGAGCUGAAACUGCACCAAGCUUGAAGACUGUUCCUUUUGCACAUUAAGCCAAAUACAGAUUCUAUAAAUAGGUCAAAAAGCUAAUCGAUUAACUUGUACAUAGCUAUUUCUUCAACUAUCCCUUACUCUGAAUUCCCAAUUGGAAAGGCAAAUCUCAUGUCAUAAUUACUAGUAAAAAUGACCUAACCUCGAAAGACUGAUUACCUCAUCAACACCACCCACUGGAGGUAAGCCAGAUGAUGGGGCCAGAAUAUCAAGAGCAACACGCAGAUAUUGUU